GAUAAAGCUAACAGCUCCAGAU
Molecule: small nuclear RNA, 22 nt
Filed under: Arabidopsis thaliana (thale cress)
Lineage: Eukaryota; Viridiplantae; Streptophyta; Magnoliopsida; Brassicales; Brassicaceae
Description: snRNA_14862
Source: RNAcentral